RNA transcript from Anarrhichthys ocellatus (wolf-eel), 17777 nucleotides. It is a transcript of the gene named SCO-spondin, with no coding region annotated. The record is from RefSeq and is a predicted model, not a curated record. Lineage: Eukaryota; Metazoa; Chordata; Actinopteri; Perciformes; Anarhichadidae. The transcript is spliced from 113 exons.
CUGUUGGACAGAACCGCACAGAAUAAUGACAUAAAGAAAGGACGUAUAAACCUUUUAUGGCAAAUAUCUCCCAAAAGCUCUUCAAAGGAACUUUAGGCCCACACAUUCAGCAGAGGACCAUGGGGACCCUCCUGCUGACUCUGCUUGGACUGCAGACAGUGAUGGGAAUGCGACACUGGUGCGAACACACGGCGGAGGAGAGAGUGGAGCGAGUCCUGUCCCCGCGCCUGCAGCUGGAAGUGAGCUGCUCUGAGGUGUAUCAGUACAACACCCAGGCCUGGAGGCUCGAUGUGGACAGGAUGCGCGCCAAGCACGGGGGCGACGACGGCAUCGCACUGUACUACAGACGACAGGGUCCGAAGGCCUCAUGUUUCUUGUACAAACCCCCAGAGAUGGAGAACCAGAUGGUGAACAAGACAGUGAGGGCAUGCUGUGAGGGCUGGGGCGGACCACGCUGCUCUGAGGGUGUGGGCGUGCGUGGCCAGUGUUACUCUACGUGGAGUUGUGUGGAGUUCCCUGGAGUUCAUAACUCCUCUCUCAUGCCCAUGGAGCAGUGCUGCAGCAGCCUGUGGGGGCUGAGCUGGAGGAACGCCUCCGACCAGACCUGCUUGUCCUGCUCCUACACUCUUCUUCCUGACUCCCAGACCUCCCCUCUGGUGCGCGGUGGUCUGCUGGGUAGCGUCAGGGUGCCUCAGAGCUCGGCCACCUGCAUGACUUGGGGUGGAGCCCACUACCGCACCUUUGACAGGAAGCACUUCCACUUCCAGGGCGACUGCACUUACCUGCUGGCCUCAUCCAGUGAUGGCACCUGGGCAGUCUACAUCAGUACGGUCUGUGACGGGAGAGGAGUCUGCAGCAAGGCGUUGAGGAUGAUGCUGGGGCUUGAUUUGGUUUCAAUUCACCACAAGAACUUAACGCUGAACAGCCUCCCCGUUCCCAAUGGAGAGCCACUCUUCCAAAAUGGAGUGAGUGUUCAUUGGCUGGGGGACUUUGUGUUUGUGGAGAGCGGCCUGGGAGUGAGAGUGAAGUUCGACCUGACCAACACCGUGUACCUGACGGUGACCGCUGAGCACCUGAUGGCCACCAGGGGGCUCUGUGGAGUCUACAACAACAACGCUGACGAUGACUUCACCACAGUGGGCGGAGCUGUGUCCCAGUACGCCGCUAGCUUCGGCAACUCGUGGAAAGUUCCUGACCAGCACAACGAAGGCUGCAGCGACGCGGCCGAGCUCGGCCACAGCUGUGACCUCUCAGGAGACCCUGCAAUACGCAGGCAGGCGGAGUCAGUGUGUCACCGCCUGCUGGAAGACCCCUUCACACACUGCCACCUCCGGUUGGACCCAGCGGCGUACAUGGACACCUGUCUCUACCUGUACUGUAGCCUGCCGCCCAAGGACAGGGAUUCGGCAGUGUGUGACACCCUGGCUAGCUACGCCCGAGAGUGUGCUCAGCAACAUGUCAUCAUGGUGUGGAGGACGGGCACCCUGUGUGGUCGCGUCUGUCCCAGAGGUCAGGUGUUCUCAGACUGUGUGUCCUCCUGUCCCCCCAGCUGCACGUCUCCCCAGCCCCCCGGGCCCGCUGCGGCCAUGGGCCAGUGCAGGGAGGAGUGUGUGGGCGGCUGCGAGUGUCCACCGGGCCUCUCCCUCCACCAGGGGCUCUGCCUGACAAGAGACGACUGUCCCUGUUUCCAUCGCAGGCGCACCUACCAGUCAGGGGACCGGAUACAGCAGAGAUGCAACACCUGUGUGUGCAGAGCAGGCCAAUGGCAGUGUACUGGGGAGAAGUGCGCAGCCCAGUGCAGCCUGAUGGGGGCGCUACAGGUGACCACCUUUGACAAAAAGAGGUACUCACUACAGGGAGGAGACUGCUCCUACACUGCUGUCGAGGACUUUGUUGACAGGAAGCUGGUGGUGAGUGUGCGCUGCGGGGAGUGUAGGCCUACAGCGGGAGGAGGAGGAGGUGGAGGAGGUCUGGGUUGUCUAAGGGAGAUGUCAGUCACAGCACUCCACACCACAGUCACCAUCACAGACGCCGGUACAGUGACACUGAAUGGCCUGAGGGAGCCCCUGCCAGUGGUGACGGGGGACCUGGUUGUGCGUAGGGCCUCCUCCUCAUUUCUCCUCAUCCAGGCUUUUGGAGCCCAGCUGCUCUGGCACCUAGAUGGACCUUUGGCCCUCAUCACCCUGCAGCCUGGCUUCGCAAAUAAGGUGCGCGGCCUUUGUGGAACACUGACCUGGAACCAGCACGAUGACUUCACCACCCCGGAAGGAGACGUGGAGAACAGUGUGUCAUUGUUCGCAAGCAAAUUCACGACAGAGGCCUGUGCUCUACCUAGAGGGGCUCCACCUGACCCCUGCACCACGUACACCCAGAGGAGGCACUACGCGGAGACAGUGUGCUCCAUCAUACACAGUCCCGUCUUUCAGGCGUGUCAUGACGUGGUGGAGAGGGAGCCCUUUUUCCGUCUCUGUCUGUCGGAGGUUUGCGGCUGCGCUCCGCAGAGGGCCUGUCACUGCAACAUCCUCACUGCCUACGCCCGACACUGCGCUCAGGAGGGCGUCGCCGUCCACUGGCGCAACCGCACCUUCUGCGCGGUCCAGUGUUCGGGGGGUCAGGUGUACCAGGAAUGUGGUCGCGCCUGCGGCGGAUCCUGUUCCGACUCAAGGAGCUGCGAUGCCACUGGCGGUGGGACGGGUCUCAGGAUGUGCGUUCCGGGUUGCCAGUGCCCACCGGGGCUAGUGCAGGACCACCAGGGCCAGUGUGUGCCCAUCACUAUGUGCCCCUGUGUGCAAGGAGACAAGACGUACCGGCCUGGGGCCGUGAUUCAGAACAACUGUAACAGCUGUGUGUGUGAGCGGGGGCUGUUUAACUGCACUCAGGAGCGCUGUGAGGAGGUGAACCAGUGUCCGGGCUGUCUGGUCUACUCUCCACGCUCCUGCCUCCUCACCUGCUCCAGCCUGGAUCCCCCUGACCAACAGCAGGGGUCCAGUGUGGCACAUUCGAGCUGCAGAGAGCCCCUGUCGGGCUGCGUCUGUCCCCAGGGAACUGUGCUGCUAGGGGAUCGCUGCGUUCUGCCAGAGGAGUGCCCCUGUCACCAUAACGGUCGACUUUACUACAGCAACGACACCAUCACCAAAGACUGCAACACAUGUGUGUGCAAGGAGCGCCGCUGGCACUGCAGCCAGUCCGCCUGCACCGGUGUGUGCGUGGCGACAGGGGACCCGCACUACGUGACGUUCGACGGCCGCUGUUACUCUUUCCUGGGCGACUGCCAGUACGUGCUGGCGAGGGAGACCAGCGGUUUGUUCAGUGUGAUUGCAGAGAACGUGCCAUGCGGCAGCACCGGAGUCACCUGCACAAAGUCGGUGACCCUCAGCCUGGGAAAUACCGUCAUACAUCUGCUGAGAGGUAAAGCCGUGACAGUAAAUGGGAUGCCAGUUAGUCUGCCAAAGUCCUACAGUGGCAGUGGUCUGACUUUGGAAAGAGUCGGCCUGUUUGUCUCCCUUUCCUCCCGACUAGGGGUCACUCUGCUAUGGGAUGGAGGUAUGCGCGUGUACGUGCGUGUGGCGGCCCACCUGCGGGGUCGGGUCGGGGGCCUGUGUGGUAACUUUGACGGAGACACAGAGAACGACUUCACUACGCGGCAGGGCAUCGUGGAGUCGACUGCGGAGCUGUUUGGUAACUCCUGGAAGGUCAGCCCCUCCUGCCCCGACGUGGCAGACCAGGACCUCCGAGACCCUUGUGCUAUUAACGCCUACAGGGUGACCUGGGCCAGGAAAAGGUGUGCGGUCCUGACUCAGGAGCUCUUCUCUCAGUGCCACCUCGAGGUGCCCUUCCAGCAGUAUUAUGACUGGUGUGUCUUCGAUGCUUGUGGCUGUGACUCAGGUGGGGACUGUGAGUGUCUCUGUACAGCCAUUGCUGCCUAUGCUGAAGAGUGUAACCGCAGAGGAGUCUACAUCCGCUGGAGGUCCCAAGAGCUCUGUCCUCUGCAGUGUGAGAACGGGCUAGUGUAUGACCCCUGUGGUCCAGCUUGCUCUCCCUCGUGUCCCAGUGUUCAGCAGAGUCCACACUCCCAGUGUGGCGCUCUCUCCUGCAUGGAGGGCUGCUUCUGCCCUGCUGGCACCGUCCGACACGGGGACAGCUGUGUAGUUCCCAUUCGGUGUCCAUGUGAGUGGGAGGGCUCCAUGUUUCCACCUGGAACUACCAUCACUCAACACUGCCAGAACUGUUCCUGUGAGGAUGGCGUGUGGCAGUGUGACGGGGUGGCAUGCCUUCCUGCCCCCCCUCACUGUCUGGAAUCAGAGUACACCUGUGCUGGGGGGCGCUGCAUCCCCUCCCAGUGGGUGUGUGACAACCAGGACGACUGUGGCGAUGGUUCGGAUGAGAUCUGCCCUUCCACCUGCACCCCGGACCAAUUCCGCUGUACCGGCACGCCAAGCGGACCAUGUUUGAACCCGGCUCUGCGUUGUGACGGCCACCCAUACUGUGCUGACCAAUCGGAUGAGGAGUUCUGUGGCCCUGCCACCCCCAUGCCCCUGUGCCCACCGGGGGAGUUUCAGUGUGCCAACGGAAAGUGCCUGGCAGCCAGCCGUGUGUGUGACGGACGGCUGGACUGUGGUUUCGCUGACGGGUCUGACGAGCAAGACUGCGGUGUGGUGUGUGAUGAGGGGGAGUUGCUGUGUGCCGGAGGACGUUGCAUUCUCUACCUCCACCGCUGCGACGGACAUGAUGACUGCGGGGACCUCAGUGACGAGAGGGGGUGUGUGUGUGCACCAGGGGAGUUUCAGUGCCCUGGGGACCAGUGUGUCCCUGCAGACAGAGUGUGUGAUGGACACAGAGACUGCCCCUCUGGAACAGACGAAGCUGUCUGUCCAAAUAGAGUGACCUGCGCUCCUGGCCAGUUUGCCUGUAGUGACGGUACGUGUGUCGCCACCACUAAGUUGUGUGAUGGAACAGCAGACUGUCGAGGUGGAGAGGAUGAGAACAGAACCAACUGCUACACUGCUGUCACAACGCCGUCACCCGUCACCCGGACUACGCCCACUUCAGCUUGUAGGUCCUAUGAGUUCAGCUGUGCCACUGGUGGGCAGUGUGUGCCUCAGGCCUGGCGUUGUGAUGGGGAAACAGACUGUAUGGACGGCAGCGAUGAGCAGCAGUGCACCGCCCUCUGUGGCCCCGGCCAGGUGCCCUGUCUCAGCGGGGACCAGUGUGUGGACUACCAGCAGCUCUGUGACGGGAUCCCACAGUGCAGGGAUGCCUCAGACGAGAGUAUCGACAACUGUGGCUCUACUCGGAUACCACCUUGCCCAGGCAGCUUCCUAUGCAACAACGGAACAUGUGUGAACAUGUCGCGAGUGUGCAACGGUGUUCCAGACUGUCCAUGGGGUGACGAUGAGUUGAUGUGUGAUAAAACGGUCUCACCAGGACCCCCUGGCAGUAGGAACACCACUCUCACCUGCCCUGAAUUUACCUGUAUGGACGGAUCCUGUGUGCCCUUUAAUAUGGUGUGUAAUGGUGUGGUAGACUGCCCAGACUCCACACUAGCACCACUUGGAGGCCCCACUGAUGAGCAGGGCUGUAGAAGUUGGAGCUCCUGGGGUCCGUGGAGCCCCUGCAGCACCUCCUGUGGUACAGGCUCCACAAGCCGGCAAAGAGCCUGUCCUACAGGAGAUCCACUGCGUCACUGUCGGGGACAGGACUCCCAGAGGAAGCAGUGCUUCAAUACCACCUGUCCUGUGGACGGUGAGUGGCUGCCGUGGGUGAUCUGGUCCAACUGCUCCAGCGGUUGUGGUGGCGUGCAGGUCAGACACAGAGGCUGCAUCCCCCCUCACUACGGAGGCCGGGACUGUUCCCAGCUCCCUGGACCAUCCAGCCUACCCAUGGAGAUCGAGCCUUGUCCCGACGAUGGAUGUGCCAACACCAGCUGUCCCACUGGGCUGGUGAGACUCAGCUGUGCUCCCUGCCCAGUGUCCUGUGCCCACGUCAGCAGUGGGACCACCUGUGAUCCAAAGGCUCCCUGCUACUCAGGUUGCUGGUGUCCGGAGGGCCUGGUGAUGAGCCAUACGCAACAGUGUGUGUCACCAGAGGAGUGUGCGUGUGAGGUGGCAGGCGUGCGCUACUGGCCGGACCAGCAGAUGAAGGUGGACUGUGAGAUUUGUGUCUGUGAGAGGGGAAGGACGCAGAGAUGCCGGCCUAACCCGGACUGUUCAGUGCACUGUGGCUGGUCGUCGUGGACUGAGUGGGGAGAGUGUUUGGGGCCCUGUGGUGUUCAGAGUGUCCAGUGGUCGUUCCGGAGCCCAAACAACCCCAUCAAGCAUGGAGACGGGAGAUCAUGCAGAGGAAUAUACAGGAAGGCCCGCCGGUGUCAGACAGACCCGUGUGAUGAGUGUAAGUACCAGGGUCAGUCCCAUGCUGUGGGAGACAGAUGGAGGUCAGACCACUGCCAGUUAUGUCACUGUCUGCCCAACCUGACAGUGCAGUGUUCCCCCUACUGUCCAUACGCUCUCAGUGGAUGUCCUCAGGGCCAAAGUCUGGUGCCUGGAGAGGGAGACAGGUGCUGCUACUGUCAAGGAGGAAAUGACACCAUUCUUGUGACAGUUAGCCCCAUCACUGUGACCUCCCAGCCAGCAGAGGGCACUACACCUCUGGUUCCCACCUAUCCUCUUCCCGCUGGAGGUGAGUGUUGGUCUCCUCUGGGUGUUCAGACUCUCCCAGCCUCCAGUUUCAGUGCCUCGUCACAGCAGACUGGUCACCCCCCUGAGGCAGGUCGCCUGCAUUGGUGGGACCCCCAUGGAGACCUCCAGGGUUGGAGUCCAGAACCCGAUGAGUAUAAGGACCUACCACACCGGAGCCCUGAGGGACACACGAGCAGCACACAGAGCCCAUACCUCCAGACGGACCUGCUGACACUAUACAACGUCACUGGUGUGCUAACCCAGGGUGGUGGUGUGUUCGGCACCUUUGUGUCCAGCUUCUACCUCCAGUUCAGCCAGGAUGGCCGACAGUGGUACACUUACAAAGAGCUCAUUACGGACGCCCGGCCCAGAGCCAAGGUUUUUCAUGGUAACCAUAAUGACCGAGGGGUGGCAGAGAUCCGGCUGGACAGGAUGGUGUCGGCUCGGUUCGUCCGCCUGCUGCCACACGACUUCCAGAACGGCAUCUACCUUCGACUUGAGAUCAUGGGCUGUGGAGAUGGUGCGCAGCCAUCCACUACAGCCAUCAUACCACUCAGCUGCCCUGCUGGUCAGUUCUCCUGCCCCCCACCAGGGGGCUGCAUCGAGGCAGGGCUGCGCUGUGAUGGGAUCCCCCACUGUCCAAAAGGAGAGGACGAAACCGGCUGCCAUUCUCAUGACAUCACCACCCAGUCAGACAGGCCGUACACACCCAGCCCUGCUCCUCUCAGGACUCCACCCAAGACUGCUGUCACUCAUCCUGCAGUAACAUCAACGGAUGGUGGCCCAGGAUAUCGUGCCAUCUGCUCCUCUCCCCUUGGACUGGAGGACGGGAGGAUUCGAUACGGUCAGCUGACGGCAUCCUCGCACCGCGAGAACAACCCUGCUGAUGCUGGACGACUAAACAUCGUCCCUAACGUUCAGGUUAUGGAGCCUGGAUGGAGCCCCUUACCUGCAGAUCCCCAACCCUUUUUCCAGGUGGACUUCCUGGAGCCCACAUGGGUAUCAGGGGUGGUGACCCAGGUCAGUGAACGCAUGUGGGGUUACCUCACUAAAUACCGCCUGGCCUUCGCCCUGCACAGCAGCCUCUUCACAGACUAUACUGAGGAUGGGAAUCCUGGAAGCCCAGCUAAGGUGUUUGAGGUGCGGAUGGCGGGCAGGAACCCGGUGACCCGCUGGCUCGGUCGGCUGGUCAGAGCUCGCUACCUGCGCAUCAUCUCUGUGGAGUUCAGACACACCUUCUACCUGCGUGUGGAGAUCCUCGGCUGCAGAGGAGAUGAGCUGGUGACCCCCAGCAGCGGGACCACGUCUCCCUCUGGUGGUGGGACAGUGACCGUACGGCACUGUGAGCCAGGCCUGUUUGCAUGCCUGCACAGUGGAGAGUGCGUCCCCGUCUCUGUGCUUUGUGACGGUCGAGCGGACUGCAAGGACCACUCUGACGAGAUCAACUGUGGCGCCCCAGGCCUCCACACCACCAGGUCCCAGGGUGGCCUUCCUGGCGUGGCUACCCCAGGGGUCACAGGUCAAACUGGACUCCAGAAGACGACAACCUCAAGUACAGGGGUCACCACAGGUCAACCUGGGCUGCAUCUCACCACAACCCGCCAUUCCGGAAAACCUGGGUUGCAAACCACAAAAGCCCCGUGGGCCGCUACAACUCUGUACGAUGGCGGCCUACCCAGAGUGCUUUGCAUGGAGGGCCAGUUUGCGUGCCGCUCUUUUGGCUGUGUUGACUCGGCACAGGUGUGUGACGGCAGACGGGACUGUUUGGACGGGUCAGAUGAGGAAGGCUGUGGCACCACAGCCAGACCAGCGGUGACUUCACAAGGUCCCCAUGUGCCCAGCCCCUGCUCCCCCAAGCAGUUCUCUUGUGACAGUGGGGAGUGCGUUCACCUGGACCGGAGGUGUGACCUGCAGACGGACUGUGUGGACGGAUCGGACGAGAGAGACUGUGUGGACUGCAUCAUAUCCAAGUGGACAGCGUGGAGCGUGUGCAGUGUGUCCUGUGGUCUGGGCUCCUUGUUCCGGCAGAGGGACAUCCUGAGGGAAGCUCUGCCCGGAGGGACCUGUGGUAGAGCUCAGUUUGACAGUCGAGCCUGUUUCCCUCGAGCGUGUCCAGUCGGCGGUCGCUGGUCAGAGUGGACGGAGUGGUCGGCGUGUGACUCUCAGUGUGGAGGUGGUGUCAAACGGAGGAACAGAACCUGCUCUGCUCCUCCUCCCAAGAACGGUGGGCGGGACUGUGAGGGCAUGACCCUGCAGAGCCAGAGCUGCAACAGCGAGCCCUGCACCAAAGACAUUGGCACGCAGACAGGCUGCGUCAACAGCAUGGUGCUGGUGACUGAGGCGGACUGCCGGGCUGGCAGGGUAGAGCCCUGUCCUCCUACCUGCUCACAUCUCAGCAUGACCAGCAACUGCACCGCAGCAUGUAUACCGGGGUGUCGCUGUGCCGAUGGUCUGUACCUUCAGGAGGGGCGGUGUGUGAAUGGCAGCCAGUGCGUCUGUCUCUGGGACGGUCAAACACUGCAGCCCGGACAGACGGUCAGCAGGGACCAGUGCACCUCAUGCGUGUGCAUAGAUGGACAAGUAACCUGUGACACCUCCCUUUGUGUGGCCUCCUGUCAUUGGUCAGCCUGGUCGUCAUGGUCGCCGUGUGACGUGACCUGUGGUCUGGGGCUCCAGCAGCGCUACAGGUCUCCAGUGAACCCGGCUGGAGCCGGAAGAAUCCAGCCCUGUCCAGGAGACUCCUCGGAGGCCCGCCGCUGCCCCGGCUCCUGUCUCCCUGGGCUGCCUGAUGGAGUCUGGGGCAAAUGGACCAGCUGGUCAGAGUGCAGUAAGACGUGUUUCAACCACGUAGAUGAUGUUGGAAUCAGGCGACGAUUCCGCAGCUGCAACCACACGCUCACACCCUUCAACCACACGCACGCGGACUCGGCCUGCGAUGGAGACGGCGAGGAGCAGGAGCCUUGUAACACUGUGCACUGUCCAGUGAAUGGCGCUUGGUCGGCGUGGUCAUCGUGGUCUCAGUGUUCAUCAGAGUGCGACUCCGGCGUCCAAACGAGAGAUCGAUUCUGCAGUUCCCCCUCACCAACCCACGGGGGCAGCAGCUGCCCCGGGCCACACGUACAGACAGGAGACUGCAACUCCCACCCCUGUUCAGGUGUGUGUCCAGAGGGCAUGGUGCACAUGACUUCAGCAGAGUGCGAGGCUCAAGGCGGCGCGUGUCCGCGGGUGUGUCUGGACAUGACCUCCACAGAGGUGCAGUGUGUCACCGCCUGUUACAACGGCUGCUACUGCGCCCUGGGCUUCUACCUGCUCAACGGCAGCUGCGUGCCCCUGGCACAGUGCCCGUGUUACCAGCAGGGGGAGCUGUACCCGGCCGGUGCAGCCCUGCCUGUGGAUGCCUGCAAUAACUGUACCUGCACUAAUGGAGCAAUGGAGUGCGGAGCAGCUCCCUGCGCUGUGGACUGUGGCUGGAGCAGCUGGACCCAGUGGAGCGCUUGCAGUCGAACAUGCGACGUUGGUGUGAGAAGACGCUAUCGUUCGGGAACCAAUCCUCCUCCAGCUUUCGGCGGUCGUCCCUGCAAAGGAGACCGAGUUGGGAUCGACACCUGCAGCAUUGAACCCUGCUUUGGUGUACGGGAGCCAUGGGUGGCGUGGUCGGAGUGCUCUGUGACGUGUGGAGGAGGUUACAGGAGCCGAACCCGUGGACCCAUCCGAAUCCACGGCACUGCUCAGCAGUUCAGCGCCUGUAACCUGCAGCCCUGUGGAGACGGCAGGGUGUGUCCUCCAGGCCAGCAGUGGAAGCAGUGUGUGAGGGGAGCAGUGUCGUGUGCAGACCUCACAAUGGACCUCAGCAGGAACUGCACGCCGGGCUGCCAGUGUCCACACGGGACUAUCCAACAGGAUGGUGUGUGUGCGCAAGAGUCCGACUGUCGCUGUCACUUGAAUGGAGAACAUCACAAACCAGGAGACAUUGUCCCCACAGACUGCAACAACUGCACAUGUGAAGCAGGGAGGCUGGUAAACUGCUCUCGAGUCAGCUGCAAUGUUGAUGGCCAGUGGUCAGUGUGGACUCCCUGGGGUCAGUGUUCGUCGUCGUGUGGAGCGGGUCUCCAGUCUCGGUACCGGUUCUGUUCCAGCCCCCAGCGCUCUGGCAGUGGCCUGCCGUGUGUGGGCCCUCACAGAGAGGACCAAGUCUGCAUCACCGCUACAUGUGACCGUGACGCGGGCUGGGGCCAGUGGAGCAACUGGACGGAGUGUACCAAGUCAUGCGGCGGGGGGGUUCGAAGCCGGAGGAGAGAGUGUGACAGUCCCAGUCCAGAGGGGGAGGGGAACUACUGCGAGGGGCUGGGAACUGCAUUCCUACUAUGUAACACUGACCACUGUCCAGUGGCGCCAUGCUCGCAGGUGCCAGGCACAGCGUUCAGUAGCUGUGGUCCGUCCUGCCCGCGCUCCUGUGACGACCUGGCUCACUGCGAGUGGCAAUGUGAGCCUGGGUGCUACUGUACAGGGGGGAAGGUCCAGUCUGCUAACGGGACAGCCUGUGUAGAGAGAGAAGACUGUCCCUGCAUGGACCUCAGCACCGGACACAGGCUGCAACCAGGGGAGACCACCGAAGCCCCGGAUGGAUGUAACAACUGCACCUGUGGGGGUGGGAGGCUCAACUGCACCAGAUACCCCUGUCCAGUGUCAGGCGGCUGGUGUGACUGGUCAGAGUGGACUCCGUGCUCCAGGACCUGUGGGGCAGAGUCGGUGUCCCGCUACAGGAGCUGUGGCUGUCCUGAGCCCAAGGCCGGAGGAGCGGCCUGCCCCGGAGAACAGGAAACACACAAUGGGGUCGGAGUUCAAAUUCAGAGACAACCCUGCCCUGUCAUCACCUUCUGUCCAGUCCACGGUUCCUGGAGUCCGUGGUCACCGUGGUCGGAGUGCGACGGGUGCGCCGGGUCGUCCACCCGCACCAGGCAAUGUAACAGUCCUCCCGCCAGGUUCGGCGGGCUGCCCUGUCUCGGAGAGAGCAGGCAGAGCCGCGGCUGCCAUGACAACAUCACCGUCUGCUCAGACUGCGGUGGAGGCCAGGAAGAAUGGCCUUGUGGGAAGCCCUGUCCGCGCUCCUGCUCUGAUCUCCACGGUGACACGGAGUGCGUGGACUCCCCUGGGUGCAGACGGACCUGCGGUUGUCCGGGUGACAUGGUUCUGCAGGACGGAGUGUGUGUGGCCCGGGAGGAGUGUCGCUGCAAAUACCACAACAGUUCUGCUGUGAUGACAUUCAGCGGUCUAGAUUCCAGUAAUGCAUCAUGGGUAUGGCCCGGUGGAUCUGAUUGGCAGUUUGCAAAUCCAGGAGACAGCAUCAUCAGUGACUGCAGAAACUGUUCCUGCGAGGCCGGGGUCCUGCAGUGUCAAUCGGUCCCUGGUUGCUAUGUUGACGGUGGCUGGAGCCAAUGGGGGUCCUGGACUGAGUGUUCAAUCUCUUGCGGAGGAGGAGUCAAGUUCAGGAGACGCCAGUGUGAUAACCCGUCCCCCCAGAGCAGUGGGAGGGGCUGCCUGGGAGUCGCUGAACAGCAGAAAGACUGCAACAUACACCUGUGCACAGACUCGGUGGGCCCCUGGCUCCCCUGGUCUCAGUGGUCCGAGUGUUCGGUCAGCUGUGGUGGAGGACAGCAGUCCCGCUCCCGUCUCUGCAGUUCUCCACCCUGCAGCGGCCUCAGCCGCCAGAGCAAGACCUGCAACACCCAGGUCUGCCUCGAAGUGGGCUGCCCUCCUGGCAGGUUGUACAGGGAGUGUGAACGAGGCGAAGGCUGUCCCUUCAGCUGCGCUCAGGUCAGCGGCAGAGAGGGCUGCUACUCCGAUGGCUGCGAGGAAGGCUGCCACUGCCCCCCUCACACCUACCAGCACCACGGUGUCUGCCUGCAGGAGUGUCCUUGUCUGGUGGACAAAGAGUUGAUGGCCUCUCUGCAGAGUGUUUCUGUCACACCGGUUUCGUCUCUGCUCCUCCAUAACAUCUCUGAGGGAGCGGAGCUUCAGUCCGGAGACACACUGCUCCAUGACUGCAGCACCUGCGGCUGCGAGCUUGGCAGGUGGAACUGUUCCUUGGAACAUUGCCCGGUCAACGGAGGUCUGUCCCCCUGGGGCUCCUGGAGCCCCUGCUCGCUGUCCUGUGGAGGUCUGGGACUGAAGACUCGCUCCAAGAGCUGCACGCAGCCGGCCCCGGCCCACGGAGGGAGAAACUGCCAGGGGCCACGCCAGGAAACCACCUACUGCCAGGCCCCAGACUGCCCAGUGAUUGUCGGUCCUACAGAAGAACCAGUUUUACCAGAUGAGGAUGCUGGCUUCUCUCCAUGGUCAUCAUGGAGUCCCUGCACUAAGCCCUGCACGGAUGCCCGCAGCCCGGCCACAAAGUCCCGUCACCGACAGUGUGUCAGACCCCCCUGCACUGGAAGCUCUCACCAGGAGAAGGCCUGUAACCUGCCCCAGUGUACAGAUGGAGACGAGGAUUGUGUCGGGGCAGACUGCGCGAGGAGGAACUGCUUGUGGAAGGAGUGGGGGGAGUGGAGCUCCUGCUCGCGGUCCUGCGGAGUGGGUCAGCAGCAGAGGAUCCGCACCUUCCUCAGCCCCCGGACCAACGGCUCAUGGUGCGAGGACAUUCUGGGAGGAAACCUGGAGAAUCGCUUCUGUAACAUCAAGCCCUGCCGAGUGGAUGGAGGUUGGUCUCGCUGGAGUCCCUGGUCUCGCUGUGAUAAGCGCUGUGGCGGCGGGCGCUCCAUACGCACUCGCUCCUGCUCCAGCCCUCCGCCUAAGAACGGAGGGAAGAACUGUGAAGAAGAGAAGAACCAGGUCAAACCUUGCAACACCAGACCCUGCGAUGAGAGAGGCUGCCCGCUCGGCCAGGAGUUCGUAUCGUGUGCCAACCAGUGUCCACAGCGCUGCUCAGACCUCCAGCAGGGCAUAGAGUGCCAGGGCAACGCUGAAUGUCAGCCCGGCUGUCGCUGCCCUGAAGGCCAGUUGCAGCAGGACGGGGUGUGUGUGCAGCUGUGGCAGUGUGACUGCGUGGACUCACUGGGACACAUUUGGGCGGCCGGCAGUUCGCAUCAGGCGGACUGUAACAACUGCAGCUGCUCAGACGGACAGCUCCUGUGCACCAACCACAUCUGCCAGACCACCUGCAUUUGGAGCUCCUGGUCCAGCUGGGCGCUGUGCAGCGUCUCCUGUGGGCAGGGCCAGAGAACCAGAUACAGGUCUCUGGUCCCGGACACCGAAGGAGCAGAUUGCCAGUUUGAGGAAGUCCAGCAUAAAACCUGCGACCCGGGACCCUGCCCACCUCUCUGUCUGCAUGAUGACCAGGAGCUGGAGGUGGGUGACACCUGGCUGCAGGGCGAGUGUAAACAAUGCACAUGCACCCCGGAGGGAGAUUACUGCCAAGACAUUGACUGCAGAGUGGAUGGUGGUUGGACCCCUUGGUCAGUGUGGUCCGACUGCUCAGUGACCUGUGGACGGGGUACACAGGUUGGAACCCGUGCCUGCAUCAACCCCCCUCCACGUAACAACGGGUCUCACUGCAGCGGGCCGGACAGAGAGACCCAGGACUGUCUCACUCCUCCCUGUCUGGAUGACCUUUGCCCCUGGUUGGCAUGGUCUCCAUGUUCCCGGAGCUGCGGCGCUGGUUCGGUGUCGCGGCGCAGGGUGUGUGUGUGCGGGGAGGGAGGAGACGCGGCGUGUCCCGCUGAGAUCGAGGCCGGGAGGAACAGAGAGGAGACCCAGCUGUGUUACGAGCAGCCCUGUGCAGGCUGCCCCAUGUCAGAGUGGAGCGUCUGGUCUCAGUGCUCCUGCGCGUCUCAGAGGCAGCUGCGCUACCGCGUAGCUCUCUCCCCAGCCACCAGGGGGCAACAGUGCACUCCUGUUGAAACACAGAGCAGGACAUGCAGUCUCAGUCGAUGUGAUGAUUGCAAAGCUCCAUUUGUGUACUCAGCAUGCGGCGCGCCCUGUGAGAAGCAGUGUGCACUGCGGGGCGAUGGAGAUCUGUGUGUGGGAGUCCAGGAGUGUACACCUGGCUGCUAUUGCCCACAGGGCCUGCUGCAGCAGAAUGGUAGCUGUGUUCCUGCAGAGCAGUGUGGCUGCGUCCACCUGGAGCAGCAAGCUUCAGGCCAACCACCCACACCUGUGACUGUCCCUCAGGGGGCCACGGUCACCAUAGGCUGCAGUACCUGCCUUUGCCAUGAUGGAACUCUGCAGUGUGACAUGAGAGAGUGUGAAGUCAUCCUCAGCGAGUGGUCAGAGUGGACUCCCUGUUCUCCCUGUGUACCCUCGUCCUCCCUGCAACACAGCAACUCCCAAGCAGUAGUCAUCAGUAGCAGUAGGAUGGUCUCAACCCAGAGGCGUUUCCGGGCCUGUUUGGACCUGGAUUCGGGUCUCCCGGUCUCUAAAGAGGAAGAGGAGAGCCAAUGUCCAGGACCUCUGGUGGAGGAGAGGCUCUGUCCAGAUGCCAACCUCUGCAGAGACCUGUGUCAGUGGAGUGUCUGGAGCGCCUGGACGGCCUGCGCGCAGCCUUGCAGCGGCGGAGUCAGGCAGCGCUACAGACGGCCCCUGGCCUCUCCUCCAGGACCCCGCUGUAAGAGCCAGCAGACGCAGACCCAGAGCUGCAACACGGGACUCUGCCCAGGUGAGCGCUGUGAGGAUAGGGGGCGGACUUACCAAGAGAGCUGUGCCAAUCAAUGUCCUCGCAGCUGCACUGACUUAUGGGAGCAUGUGCAGUGUCUCCAGGGAGCAUGUCACCCAGGUUGUCGGUGUCCGAAGGGACAUUUGCUGCAGGACGGCCACUGUGUGCCAGUGACAGAGUGUCGCUGUGGUGUCCCAUCAGGCAACGGGACGCUGGAGUUCACCCCUGAAGAGGAGCUUUCCGUGGACUGUAACACCUGCGUGUGUGAGAACGGCACUCUGGUGUGCACCAAGCUUCAGUGCCCGGUUUAUGAGCCCUGGAGCCCAUGGAGCUCCUGCUCAGCCUCCUGUGGACACGGCCAGAUGACGAGGACACGCCUUUGCCAGGACCUGGAGGGCGGUCCUUCCUGUGCUGACACCACGCAGACGGAGAGCUGCGAUCUGCCAUCAUGUCCAGCGGGAUGUUUGUUGAGCGAGUGGUCACCCUGGACUGAGUGCAGCACCACGUGUGGCGGCGGGUCGAAGGUGCGGAACAAGACGGUCCUCAGAGAGCCAGAGCCUGGUGGGACGGCCUGUGUUGGACCACUUGAACAGCACACUGUCUGUAACACCAACAGCUGCCUACCUGAAUGUCCUAGCGGGCAGGUGUUUAGUGACUGUUCCGGUUCCUGUCCAUAUUCCUGUGAAGACCUGUGGCCACACACUCAGUGUUUAUCUGGACCCUGCACCCCUGGGUGCAGCUGCUCUCCUGGACAGGUGUUGCAUGAAGGCUCCUGUGUGUCCCACGCCGACUGUCCCUGUUCACCGCUGUCCCUGCCGACCGGUCACCAGCGCUGGAAUGCCAGCACUGAGGAGAUCACAGAAACUCGGCUGCCACCUGGAACGGCCAUCCAGCACCUCUGCAACACAUGUGUGUGCCAGAGAGGAGUGUUCAACUGCACCGCCGAGCUCUGUGACGUGCACUGCGAGUGGGCCAGCUGGUCCCAGUGGAGUCCCUGCUCAGCGAGCUGUGGCACGGGGCAACAGAGCUCCACCAGAAUCAUCCUGCAGCCCAGCCGGUAUGGAGGGGCCCCGUGUGAGGGCCCCGAGCACCGCACCAAGACCUGCAUGGCUCCCGACUGUGCAUGUCCUGACGGGGAGCAGUGGAGGAGGAGCGCGUCGGAGGAGCUUAUGCUGUGCGAGCGGAGCUGCCGGGACAUUUACUCCUCCUCUCCCGUCAACUGCAGCCACUCCGCCGAGGGCUGCGUGUGCCGGGAGGGGCUCUACCGCGACACCGGGGGCGUUUGUGUCAUCCCCGCCCUCUGCCCCUGCCAUGACCAGGGCAUCCAGCGGGAGGUACACACUCUCUCUCUCACACACACACACACACACACACACACACACACACAGACACACACACAGACACAGACACAGACACACACUGGCUUACACCCAAAGUCAACAGACAUCUGCUACCCAGCUGACUCUGCAGCUUGUAGCCAUUGUUCUGCCUCAUUGUGUGGCGCUUCUGAACCUUACCAUUAGCGUGGCGUUUACGUUCCCUCCCAUUGUGUUAUUUACUCAUAAUGAAAGGCCUAUUAGGAGAUGAGUGACAUGCCCCGUGGGCCACACUACACAGUGCCUCUCCAGCCCUCAGCCUCAUCAAUUAUGCAGGAAGUGCCGUAGAAAGCCGGCGUUGGGACCUCGACUGGGCAAGCCUGCCGGGAAUUAUUUAUGAAAGAGGGGAUAUUAUAGGAUUAUAAGAAUUAAUCAUACACUGACAAGAGGUCACGCGCCCUUGAUAUUUCUUCUUCGGGCCUUUCAUUCUCUCUUUCGUUCUUUCUUUCCUUUCCCAUGCCUCAGAUUAUCCCUCACCAUUCCCUCUUCUGCUGUCAUUACCCGAUUCCUGUUCCAUCCUUUUUCUUUUUAUUCCCAUUCUCCCUCCAUCUUCCUCUUACCUUUUCUCCCUUCAUCUCUGAUUCUUCUCAUCUGUCUCUUUCUUUCUUUCUUUCUACCUCGCCCUACUGCUUCUCUCUUCCUGUCUGUCAGCUGGGGAUGAGUAAUGGCCAUAUAAAGACUCUCUAUCAUUUUCUAAUCGACUACCUCAAAUGGUCCGGUGUGAGCCACAACGGCACUCCCUAGUUGGUGCCUUUGUGCGGGUAAAAACUGAGUAUUGUUAAUGAUUUCUACAGCUAACACAUACAUAAAAGAAAAUAUAUAAUGUAGUCUGUAUAAUGCGUUGCCAUAAUUACAGCAUCAUACGGCCUCCACAACCUCAGUUAUGCACAAGGGUGCAGCCAGAGCUUUAGUGGUUUCGCUGAAGAUAUCGAUCCUGAGUGGUGACCAGCUGCACUUUAUCAAACCUGCAUUUCUAAAGUCUAGUGAGUGAAUAUGAGUGAAUAUUUGUGAGUGUGUGUGUGUGUGUGUGUGUGUGUGUGUGUGUGUGUGUGUGUGUGUGUGUGUGUGUGUGUGUGUGUG